GCCAGGUGGUCUCAGCCAAGCCAGGGAGCAGCACCGAUGCACAGCCCGUGCAUCCUGAAUUCAUAAGCAGCGCAGAAACCCUGAGCCCAGAGGGACUGCCAAGAGGGUGCAGGGGGAAAACCUUUCCAAACCUGUCAUGUUAACGGGGCUGCAGGAGGGCGGGGUUUUUAAUUGGACCACUCCCUGUGCUUUGGAGUUUGGGCGGCAGAACCGCGUAAGGAGAAGCCGUCUGGGUGUCUCCCCUCCGCCAGGCAAGGCAGACAACCAGAGCCGAGCAGCACAGAGAUCUUUCUGCAGUGGGAGAAACAGAUGAGAAAACUCUACGAACACACAGACACCUCUGGAGGAGGAGGACAAGCAGUAGAAGGUUACACAUCUGGGUUGUGAAGGGAAUUGUGACUAAUCUUGAAAGUUACAAUGUACAGAAAGUUCCAGAAAUGUAGACCUUUUGUUCCUUCACAUUAAAUGUAACUUGGGCCCGGUCACGGUGGCUCAUGCCUAUAAUCCUAGUACUUUGAGAGGCCAAGGCGGGUGGAUCGCUUGAGCUCAGGGGUUCAAGACCAGCCUGGCUGACACAGUGUGAUCUUGUCUCUACGAAAAAUAAAACAAAAUCAGCCAGACAUAAUGACGUACGUCUGUAUUUCCAACUACUUGGGCAGUUGAGGUGAGAGGAUUGCUUAAGCACAGCAGGUCAAGGCUGCAGUGAGCCAUGAUUAUGCUGCUGUACUUCAGCCUGGGCGAUAGAGGUAGAC
This 752-nucleotide long non-coding RNA is filed under the name Homo sapiens (human). Its description in RNAcentral is "HSALNT0199279". The record is from RNAcentral. Lineage: Eukaryota; Metazoa; Chordata; Mammalia; Primates; Hominidae.